Molecule: ribosomal RNA, 157 nt
Filed under: Enterobacter cloacae
Lineage: Bacteria; Pseudomonadati; Pseudomonadota; Gammaproteobacteria; Enterobacterales; Enterobacteriaceae
Description: partial 16S ribosomal RNA
Rfam family: Bacterial small subunit ribosomal RNA
Source: RNAcentral
CGGAGGCAGCAGUAAGGAAUAUUGCACAAUGGGCGCAAGCCUGAUGCAGCCAUGCCGCGUGUAUGAAGAAGGCCUUYGGGUUGUAAAGUACUUUCAGCGGGGAGGAAGGUGUUGAGGUUAAUAACCUCAGCRAUUGACGUUACCCGCAGAAGAAGCA